Molecule: long non-coding RNA, 1020 nt
Filed under: Aquilegia coerulea
Lineage: Eukaryota; Viridiplantae; Streptophyta; Magnoliopsida; Ranunculales; Ranunculaceae
Description: long non-coding RNA (ACOE_LNC000178)
Source: RNAcentral
UUCUGAAAGUAGCUAUGCCCGGUGGCUGGGUGGCAGCUGCUGCUGCCAUAACUGGUGAAGUAAAAGUGAUCUCUUUGUUUACUGCAAGGGUGAAUCAUCAGGUUUGCAAUCACAUCUUCGAAAUUGUUCAAGAUCAAUUACUGAUUUAAUUGAAAUCAAAGGUUUGAUGUUGGUUUGGUUAACUUCUCCGUGUUUUCUUUGUAUUAAUAAAUUAUAUAAUCUAAUUUUAGCCUCAAAAUCUUGUGCAUUCACUACGAGAUAUGGGUGAUGAAAGACUAUAUAGUACAAUCAUAAUGACAUAUGGGUGAUGAAAGAUUAUACACAAUAAAAUUAUUGAUUGUUACUUAAGUAGAGAUGGGACGAUGAUAUGGGUGAUGAAAGAUUAAAAAGUUUAGGAUGUCGCAAAUUUGUUAUGUAGUUCAGCGAAAAUAAUAUGUAUUUUUUCUACAAAUUAUGUAUUGGAAUUGCAUCAAAAUAAGCAUUGAGUAGUUUUCGCCAUUAUUAAUGUAUAAGUUUCUACUUUUCUUGAUGGUUUGAUGCUAGUUGUAAAAUUUAUUUAUUUUUGUUAAAUUGGUGGUGAAAUGGAGAAGUUAAUCUACUAAUAUUGCCAGAAAGAAGUUUUGUCAAUGGAAACUAGUAAUGUAUGCAAAUUUUGUUCAUGAUAUGAGCAUGCUUUGUCUUGUUUCAUUACCUAAGCAGCAGCGUCCUCCAUAAUAUUUAAGAUUAAAAUUUGUUUUUCUGAUAAGAUUAUUUGUGUUAGAUAAGUGCAGCUGACAUGUAUAUUCAUUUCUUUGUGAAAUCAGAACUCACAUUUAGAUUCAAAGAUAAUAAGUGGAGGAUCUAGCAAUAGCAAUUGAACUCCUAUUAUAAUUGUGGUAGAUCAAGUCGGAAAAUGCAGAUUCCAAACUUGCUUCUUUAAAUUUAAAAACAUUGUAUGCUGCAAAAUAUUUAUGGUCGAUGGUCAAAUACCAAGCCACUUUUCUGGAUUUUCUGAGGGUUUUUUUUGCUUGUAAUCUAUAU